This 484-nucleotide ribosomal RNA is filed under the name uncultured bacterium. RNAcentral describes it as "partial 16S ribosomal RNA". It matches the Rfam family "Bacterial small subunit ribosomal RNA", at positions 30 to 507 of the family's 1533-position model. The record is from RNAcentral.
AUUGAACGCUGGCGGCAGGCCUAACACAUGCAAGUCGAGCGGAUGAAGGGAGCUUGCUCCUGGAUUCAGCGGCGGACGGGUGAGUAAUGCCUACGAAUCUGCCUUGUCGUGGGGGAUAACGUCCGGAAACGGGCGCUAAUACCGCAUACGUCCUGAUGGUGAAAGUGGGGGAUCUUUGGACCUCAAGCUAUCAGAUGAGCCUAGGUCGGAUUAGCUAGUUGGUGGGGUAAAGGCCUACCAAGGCGACGAUCCGUAACUGGUCUGAGAGGAUGAUCAGUCACACUGGAACUGAGACACGGUCCAGACUCCUACGGGAGGCAGCAGUGGGGAAUAUUGGACAAUGGGCGAAAGCCUGAUCCAGCCAUGCCGCGUGUGUGAAGAAGGUCUUCGGAUUGUAAAGCUCUGUUAGUUGGGAGGAAGGGCAGUAAGUUAAUACCUUGCUGUUUUGACGGUACCAACAGAAUAAGCACCGGCUAACUUCGUG